This 380-nucleotide unclassified non-coding RNA is filed under the name uncultured bacterium. RNAcentral's name for it is "contains 16S-23S intergenic spacer region". The record is from RNAcentral.
UCCAGUUUAUCACCGGCAGUCUCUCUAGAGUGCCCAGCUUUACCUGAUGGCAACUAAAGAAAAAGGUUGCGCUCGUUGCGGGACUUAACCCAACACUUCACAGCACGAGCUGACGACAGCCAUGCAGCACCUGUGUAAUCGUCCCUUGCGGGAACACCAACUUUCGUUGGCUGGCAACUACAUGUCAAGCCUGGGUAAGGUUCUUCGCGUAGCCUCGAAUUAAACCACAUGCUCCACCGCUUGUGCGGGUCCCCGUCAAUUUCUUUGAGUUUCAGUCUUGCGACCGUACUCCCCAGGUGGUGGAUUUAAUGCGUUAGCGUCGGCGCCAAAAGGAUCAACACCCUUGACACCUAAUCCACAUCGUUUACGGCAAGGACUAC